GUUAGGAAUAUUGGACAAUGGGCGAAAGCCUGAUCCAGCCAUGCCGCGUGAACGAUGAAGGCCUUCGGGUUGUAAAGUUCUUUAGCCGAUGAUUAUAAUGACUGUAGUCGGAAAAUAAGCCCCGGCUAACUUCGUGCCAGCAGCCGCGGUAAUACGAAGGGGGCGAGCGUUAUUCGGAAUCACUGGGCGUAAAGCGUGCGUAGGCGGUUUUGUAAGUUAGGAGUGAAAGCCCAGGGCUCAACCUUGGAAUUGCUCUUAAAACUGCAAGGCUCGAAUCUCGGAGAGGAUAGCGGAAUUUCCAGUGUAGCAGUGAAAUGCGUAGAUAUUGGAAGGAACACCAGUGGCGUAAGCGGCUAUCUGGACGAGUAUUGACGCUGAGGCACGAAAGCGUGGGGAUCAAACAGGAUUAGAUACCGAGUAGUCC
RNAcentral lists this ribosomal RNA (424 nucleotides) under uncultured bacterium. Its description in RNAcentral is "partial 16S ribosomal RNA". It matches the Rfam family "Bacterial small subunit ribosomal RNA", at positions 354 to 796 of the family's 1533-position model. The record is from RNAcentral.